GGAUGGGAUGCUACAUUGUUAAUGGUCGGG
This 30-nucleotide transfer RNA is filed under the name Stemodia coahuilensis. RNAcentral describes it as "Leucospora coahuilensis partial tRNA-Phe". Lineage: Eukaryota; Viridiplantae; Streptophyta; Magnoliopsida; Lamiales; Plantaginaceae. The record is from RNAcentral. RNAcentral also lists the same sequence under 2 other names.